Molecule: ribosomal RNA, 173 nt
Filed under: Candidatus Poseidoniales archaeon
Lineage: Archaea; Methanobacteriati; Thermoplasmatota; Candidatus Poseidoniia; Candidatus Poseidoniales
Also listed under: 1 other name
Description: Marine Group II euryarchaeote (marine metagenome) partial 16S ribosomal RNA
Rfam family: Archaeal small subunit ribosomal RNA
Source: RNAcentral
AUAGCACGGUGAAUAUGCCCCUGCUCCUUGCACACACCGCCCGUCAAACCAUCUUAGUUGGGGGUGGGUGAGGCUGCGCUUUAUGGCGUAUUCGAGCCUGCCUUCGACAAGGAGGGUUAAGUCGUAACAAGGUAUCUGUAGGGGAACCUGCAGAUGGAUCACCUCCUAAGAAA